Molecule: ribosomal RNA, 614 nt
Filed under: Staphylococcus aureus
Lineage: Bacteria; Bacillati; Bacillota; Bacilli; Caryophanales; Staphylococcaceae
Description: partial 23S ribosomal RNA
Rfam family: Bacterial large subunit ribosomal RNA
Source: RNAcentral
AAUCCUGUAGUCGAAAAUGUUGUCUCUCUUGAGUGGAUCCUGAGUACGACGGAGCACGUGAAAUUCCGUCGGAAUCUGGGAGGACCAUCUCCUAAGGCUAAAUACUCUCUAGUGACCGAUAGUGAACCAGUACCGUGAGGGAAAGGUGAAAAGCACCCCGGAAGGGGAGUGAAAUAGAACCUGAAACCGUGUGCUUACAAGUAGUCAGAGCCCGUUAAUGGGUGAUGGCGUGCCUUUUGUAGAAUGAACCGGCGAGUUACGAUUUGAUGCAAGGUUAAGCAGUAAAUGUGGAGCCGUAGCGAAAGCGAGUCUGAAUAGGGCGUUUAGUAUUUGGUCGUAGACCCGAAACCAGGUGAUCUACCCUUGGUCAGGUUGAAGUUCAGGUAACACUGAAUGGAGGACCGAACCGACUUACGUUGAAAAGUGAGCGGAUGAACUGAGGGUAGCGGAGAAAUUCCAAUCGAACCUGGAGAUAGCUGGUUCUCUCCGAAAUAGCUUUAGGGCUAGCCUCAAGUGAUGAUUAUUGGAGGUAGAGCACUGUUUGGACGAGGGGCCCCUCUCGGGUUACCGAAUUCAGACAAACUCCGAAUGCCAAUUAAUUUAACUUGGGAGUC